Xylariales sp. No.14919 is the source of this 73-nucleotide non-coding RNA. The record is from the annotation of a GenBank genome assembly. Lineage: Eukaryota; Fungi; Ascomycota; Sordariomycetes; Xylariales.
GCACGUGUGACGCAGUGGUUAGCGUGUUGCUCUUAUAAUGCAAAAGUCGUGAGUUCGACCCUCACCUCGUGCA